CCUACGGGAGGCAGCAGUGGGGAAUAUUGCACAAUGGGCGCAAGCCUGAUGCAGCGACGCCGCGUGAGGGAUGACGGCCUUCGGGUUGUAAACCUCUUUCAGCAGGGACGAAGCGCAAGUGACGGUACCUGCAGAAGAAGCACCGGCCAACUACGUGCCAGCAGCCGCGGUAAUACGUAGGGUGCAAGCGUUGUCCGGAAUUACUGGGCGUAAAGAGCUCGUAGGCGGUUUGUCGCGUCGUCUGUGAAAACCAGCAGCUCAACUGUUGGCUUGCAGGCGAUACGGGCAGACUUGAGUAUUUCAGGGGAGACUGGAAUUCCUGGUGUAGCGGUGAAAUGCGCAGAUAUCAGGAGGAACACCGGUGGCGAAGGCGGGUCUCUGGGAAAUAACUGACGCUGAGGAGCGAAAGCGUGGGUAGCGAACAGGAUUAGAUACCCUGGUAGUCCACGCCGUAAACGGUGGGCGCUAGGUGUGGGUUUCCUUCCACGGGAUCCGUGCCGUAGCUAACGCAUUAAGCGCCCCGCCUGGGGAGUACGGCCGCAAGGCUAAAACUCAAAGGAAAUUGACGG
This 569-nucleotide ribosomal RNA is filed under the name uncultured bacterium. RNAcentral describes it as "bacterial SSU rRNA". It matches the Rfam family "Bacterial small subunit ribosomal RNA", at positions 338 to 916 of the family's 1533-position model. The record is from RNAcentral.